Long non-coding RNA from Populus euphratica (Euphrates poplar), 1598 nucleotides. RefSeq lists it as uncharacterized. Lineage: Eukaryota; Viridiplantae; Streptophyta; Magnoliopsida; Malpighiales; Salicaceae. The transcript has 2 exons. The record is from RefSeq and is a predicted model, not a curated record.
ACUGGACUCAUGUAAUGUUCUCCCAAUACGUUUUAGAUUUGACAUCAACAAGUCAUCAUCCACAACCAUAACUGAACGGCUAGAUUGUUCCCAGCAUGUUUUCCACCACUUAUGAUAGUGAAAGCAGGGACAGGAAGAGUCAGGUUGGUUUUUCCAUGAAGAUCAUAAAUGUGUUUGUAAAGCGGAAGCUGGUAUUUCAACGGCAAGAUUUUCAAAGAAGUGCACAAAGUGCCGAUCCAAGUGCUAUAUUAAUUAAUUAAUUAUCUAAAAUAAAAGGCAUCAUCCAUGCCUCUUUUUCUGCGGCUCCAGCUUUGCAUGCAGCAAUUGCAACUGCUCACAUAGCAUUUGCUUCAAGUUCACCCUGCGGAUGACUCAGAGUAGGAAAAAGGAUGCCUUACAAGAUGCCAGCAUCUUAAACACUUGAACAACAAUCAUUUCCAGAUUGCAGAUCUUCUCGCAUGAAACCUAAGGUUGAAUCUUGAACUGACAAUUUAUGCUCAGUACAAAGGCCAUCUGAUGACCCCACAAAGAUGUCAAAAGGGGCACAACGUAUGGAUGUUUAAUCAAGUUUGAGGAAAUAUAAAACAAGCCUACAGUAAUGAGGAUUCGGAAGUUCAUAUUUCGAAACCAUCUAACUUCAAAAGUACUGGGAGAACCUUUCUCCACGCCGGUUGGAUGUGAAAAGCAUGGGGUUUAAGUCCACAUAUUAUUAAUACACAAAUAACUUUCUUGCAUGGUUGUCUAUUGGGAUAAAUGGACAAAAGCCACAACAUUUCUCUUCCAUUUGCAAGAAACCAGACAUAUUUGCAUGCGACACAGUAGAUUCCAUCCAGAGUCAACUAGAUUCAGAACUAUCAUCCUGUGUGAAAAUGUGUCAAAGGUUAACAAUUGGUCAUUAAAGUUCUAUGUUGGUGGAAAGAACUGAAGCAAAGCAAACAUGUGAUUACACUGAUUAAAGACAGGGAAGAAAAGAAAGCAUAACCUUGUUUUCUGUUUUGUCCAAGUCUAUCAUGGCCUGAUCAAUUUGAGACUGAAGUGCGGGGUCCAUACCAAUCAACGCUUCAGAAAUGUUCUCAUUGAUGUUCUCAGCAGCUCUACUCACACUGUUUCUAAGAUACCUUCCUUUAUCCCCAUCUCGUAGUUCAACAGCUUCAUAACUAGGACUGAGUGGUCAUUAAUCGAAAUCACUCACCACACAACAUUCCAAUUUUUUUUUUAAAUGGAGGGGCUUCUAGGCUCUAGAAAUUGAAAAGAAAAUAAUUAAACAUGUUAAUUUAGAAAUGGGGUUUUCCCCGAGAUUCUCAAGGGGUUAUCGUUUGAUGGCAAUUUAGAAACGGCGUGUCGGUUACUCUCAAAGAUCUUUCAAUUUCUCGUACGCUUUUCGCUGAUGAACGAUCAUCUUUUUACACAGGAUUAAUGGUCAACCAUGGUUUCCUGCAGGCAUUACAAAAACUAGCUGGAUUAAUUAAACAUGUUAAAGAUAGCUACAGGGAUUCAAGAGUUUAUUAGCAAGUGUUGCCCCAUGCCAGCCAUCUGUCGUGCAGAUAUAUUUUUGUGUAAGAAAAGGAAUACUACAAGGACAGGAGUAGCGUGUACAU